This 84-nucleotide microRNA precursor is filed under the name Bombyx mori (domestic silkworm). RNAcentral describes it as "mir-2807 microRNA precursor family". It matches the Rfam family "mir-2807 microRNA precursor family". Lineage: Eukaryota; Metazoa; Arthropoda; Insecta; Lepidoptera; Bombycidae. The record is from Rfam by way of RNAcentral.
UUGAAUCAAAUUUGUGUGUAUUUUGAACGUUUGCCUACGUUUGCCGCUAGGGGUGCUGUUCCAACUGCAUACAAAUUUGAGUAA